RNAcentral lists this ribosomal RNA (465 nucleotides) under uncultured Klebsiella sp. RNAcentral describes it as "bacterial SSU rRNA". It matches the Rfam family "Bacterial small subunit ribosomal RNA", at positions 338 to 795 of the family's 1533-position model. Lineage: Bacteria; Pseudomonadati; Pseudomonadota; Gammaproteobacteria; Enterobacterales; Enterobacteriaceae. The record is from RNAcentral.
CCUACGGGGGGCAGCAGUGGGGAAUAUUGCACAAUGGGCGCAAGCCUGAUGCAGCCAUGCCGCGUGUGUGAAGAAGGCCUUCGGGUUGUAAAGCACUUUCAGCGGGGAGGGAGGCGGUGAGGUUAAUAACCUCAUCGAUUGACGUUACCCGCAGAAGAAGCACCGGCUAACUCCGUGCCAGCAGCCGCGGUAAUACGGAGGGUGCAAGCGUUAAUCGGAAUUACUGGGCGUAAAGCGCACGCAGGCGGUCUGUCAAGUCGGAUGUGAAAUCCCCGGGCUCAACCUGGGAACUGCAUUCGAAACUGGCAGGCUAGAGUCUUGUAGAGGGGGGUAGAAUUCCAGGUGUAGCGGUGAAAUGCGUAGAGAUCUGGAGGAAUACCGGUGGCGAAGGCGGCCCCCUGGACAAAGACUGACGCUCAGGUGCGAAAGCGUGGGGAGCAAACAGGAUUAGAUACCCGAGUAGUC